This 401-nucleotide ribosomal RNA is filed under the name uncultured prokaryote. Its description in RNAcentral is "bacterial SSU rRNA". It matches the Rfam family "Bacterial small subunit ribosomal RNA", at positions 355 to 774 of the family's 1533-position model. The record is from RNAcentral.
UAGGGAAUAUUAGUAAUGGGCGAAAGCCUGAACUAGCAACACCGCGUGUGCGAAGAAGGCCUUCGGGUUGUAAAGCACUUUUUGAGAGGAUGAGGAAGGACGGUACUCUCAGAAUAAGUCUCGGCUAACUACGUGCCAGCAGCCGCGGUAACACGUAGGAGGCAAACGUUAUCCGGAUUUACUGGGCGUAAAGCGCGUGUAGGUGGUUUGGUAAGUAGAGCGUGAAGGCUCCUUGCUCAACUGGGAGAGUGCGUUCUAAACUGCCGGACUAGAGGAUGGUAGAGGGAGGUGGAAUUCCGGGUGUAGCGGUGGAAUGCGCAGAUAUCCGGAGGAACACCAGUGGCGAAAGCGGCCUCCUGACCACUCCUGACACUCAGACGCGAAAGCUAGGGUAGCAAACG